AAUUUGAAUGGUACGAGAUGACUGGUGUGUCACCUCAUCAUUAUUUCCUCAUCCACUUCUCAAGAGCCACGUCCUCAGGAAAUCACCCGGGCCCACUUUUACCUUCCCACUCACUCAAAACCUCCAUGCAGUCAGCGGAAACAAUAACAAAUCAGCACUAUUUUCAGAAGCCUGGAGGGAUGAACUUAAAGAACUUGUUGCAAAAGUCAAUCUGUCUUUUCGAGCACAAUUGGGAAAAAAUGAGAUGUUCAGAGGGAGAUGAUGCCACAUCUGGUCCAGCUGAUGGAAGGUCUUGAAGUUCUCUGACUGGCCUCGACUGAAGAUGGUCGUCUCACUGGAUUUAAGGUUCAGAUGCUCAGUAACAAACUCCACCAAUGAGCCAACAGGGAAGCUUUAGGUUUAUUAAAUGUUGCUAUGAAGGUUUCACUGUUUUUCUUUGUGAAUGCAAUGUGCUCCAACUGAAACUUGAAUUAGAACUUAGAAGUAAAUCCUUCCAUCUGAAAGGAUUUAGUUGCAUUAAUAACCUCAUAACAUUCUAAUUUUUAUUCCAGUCUUGGUUGGAAAUAGAAUCUCUGUAUUGAUUCAGGUAAAAACUGAACUUCACAGCAUGUUGGAGCAAAACAACCAGAUGAAAACUGUGAUGGUGUUGGAUUGUCAGACCGUAAUGUUGCAGCUCAAAGCAGCUUUUCUAGCUCAGUUCAUUCUGACAUUCAGCUAUGAAUCAACACAGCAGAUGGUGAUCCAUGCUGUGGAAGUCUCACAUCUCCUGAUUUAAUGGAGCUGCUUUGCACUUUUUACACUGUUUAUUCACCAACACUUUAUUUAAUAAAAGUCCCAUCUAGUUUUUAUGAGGAAUGUGAUGUUUUAAUUUCUCUGUGAAUAACUGCAGUCUAAUGGAACAGCUGGAGUUGUAACAUCUGUCCUGAUAUUGAUCAUGAAGUAUUGAUCAGAAUACUUAUGGUCAGCAGUCAUCCCUGAAGUUUUACAUUAAAAUCUUUACUUGUGUUGUGAACUUUGGUAAGAAGCAGAAACUUUUGCGUUGCCAUGGAUACAUGAGUGUUAAAUUCUGUCCAUGUUUCCAUUUUGGGAAAUUCAGUCCAGUUCCAGAAUGUGGAGGAAUUUAGUCUCACAAUCACAGACAACAAAUAUUAUCUGAAAGUCGGGUUAUUGUUGUUUAUCAGCACAAUACAAAAAGAUUAAUGUUAGAAAUAUUCCAGUUAAGACUCUAGAAUAUCAUGAUUUAUGUAAAUUUACCUCAAUAAUAUGAAUGUUCAGGUUAAGAUUGUGCAGUGAUAUUUAUUAUGUAAGUUUAGCUGAUUAAAGUUUAUUACUCUGCACUAAAAUAUUAUUUAAAUUGACAUCAUUAUUAUAAUAUUUAGGGUCAGACCCUACAGUAUUGAGAUUAAGAAAUCAAAUAUUCUAUAAAAUGUAAAUACACUGAACUCAUUUGGAUAUAUUUAAGUGAGACUCUACAAUAUUAUUUGACACAAAUCUAUCUAAAUCAAAAUUUUAAUAAUUUUCAUGCCAAACAUUUACUGGACUGAUUUAAAUAUUAAAAUCACUCCUUUCUAAUCCUCUGCUGUACGUUCAAACCUGAGGCCUUAAAUAGAAACACACAAGUAUCUGAUUGAAGGAACUUCUGCAGAGUCCUGGUUCCAGAACAUGAUGAUAGAAUUAUAGACAAACUUUAACAAAAGCUGCCUGAGAGUUUACAGGUUUUUAUGUUAAAUUUCUUCAGUAAUUUAAUGAGCGUUAUCAGCAAAAAUCAAGUGUUCAUUUGAUGAACUUCAUUUCCUAAAACAUCCAGAAUUGGAGCUCAUAUCUUUGGCAGCUGUAAAGUUUCUGCUCCUUCAAAGUUCACAACACAAUGAAUGAAUUCCUAAAACACUCUCAAUGCUGGAGAGCGUUUGUGAUGCUGAAGCAGUGAUCAGUUUUUCUGUUUCUUCUCUGGAGAUGCACAAUGAGGGACGUCUGCAGAGACUGAGAAAGAGUCUCACCACAUCCUGACAUGAGGAAAAAGACUUUAUUGAAGACUACAAUGAGAAAAACUAUCAGACAGCAGACGGCUGCAUUCAAGGUGAGCUCUGAACAUUUGAUCUGGAACAGGAAUUCAAUAACGGCAGCAUGAGCUUCAUUUCAGUCUGUAGCUGCUGAAUUCAUGGAUGAAUCAUCUGGCACUAGAGAGGAAGACCAUCAAACAUCCACGUCAGCUGAUGGAGGUCCAAGAGUCUCACCAAACAACCAACCUACAGAGUGAAGACCUCAAAUCUGAUUGGACGGCCUCCUAUUCAGCCACAUUUUAGGCUGUUAGAUUGUUCCAGAUAAGACAAGUACAAGAUUCUUCAGAGCCGUUCUACCACGAGCCUGACAGGAAGAACUCCAACAGCUACUGAAUGUUCCUGUGGUUCCCUCAAGGCUACAGGAGGAGCCCUACGAGGACGAGCCGGUCCACCUGAUGGUGGCCAGUCGCUGCGGUUCAAAGCCAACACCGACUACGUGGACUUCUACUGGACCACAUGGAGGCCUUCAAACCGGACCAACAAGUUCAGCGACUCCCCGACUCGUGGGUCUGAGGACGCCGCCGAGCCUCGGUCCAGCCGGCCUCCUGUCUGUGGGUGUUUGAGUGCUGAGAGGUUUGUGGAUGCAUGUGAACGUUCUGUGUUGAAACAGCAGCUUUGGACUCAGUAACGCCAGGGAAAAACCAAGAGCUCCUUUAUUUGUGACUUCCACUAAAAAAACUGAUGAAAAUAAGUUUGCCAGGGUUCUGACUGAUAACAGAUUAUUAAAUAAUGAAAAUAAUCGUUUAAAUAUUCCUUUAAACAAUCCUUUUAGGUCUACAUUUCCUUUACACUGACUUCUUGGUAUAUGUACAAGUAUUUUGGGUGGAAUAUACCAUUAAGCCUAAUGUUCAAGGGUUUUUCUGGGAAUAUACCAUUAAACCAACAUUUUAGGUAAAUGUUCCAGGAUGUUGGGUAGAAUAUACCAUCAGAUCAACCUUUUAGGUCUACAUUGGAAGAUUUUAGAGUAGA
Amphiprion ocellaris (clown anemonefish) is the source of this 3029-nucleotide long non-coding RNA. RefSeq lists it as uncharacterized. Lineage: Eukaryota; Metazoa; Chordata; Actinopteri; Pomacentridae. The record is from RefSeq and is a predicted model, not a curated record. The transcript is spliced from 4 exons.